This 1820-nucleotide long non-coding RNA is filed under the name Prunus persica (peach). Its description in RNAcentral is "long non-coding RNA (PPER_LNC005578)". The record is from RNAcentral. Lineage: Eukaryota; Viridiplantae; Streptophyta; Magnoliopsida; Rosales; Rosaceae.
ACUUGUUACCAUACCAUUUGGUAACAAUGAAUUACCUUAUUGAAGUGGGAUUUUCUGAAUCAAAGGUAGCCUUGGAAUAUAUUUAAAAACAAAACUUCAGCAUGACAAGGAGACAAGGAGGACACAAUGCUAAAGGCUUUAACAAAAGGUGGAGUUUUAUAUUGAAGAAUGAGUUGGAAAGGAGGAGAGAAGGGAGCAAAGAAGGCAUCAGCCAUUCUUGAAAUCAUUCAUUCAAUUUUGCAGAGGUUUUGGGAGCUUGGGAGCCAGAGAAGGAAGAAGGUGCAACCAAGCAAGAAGUGAAGAAGAUUUUCACCAUUGAAGACCUUGAGCUUCCAUCACUUUCACAAAAUCUGUAAACUCUUUCUAGUUUUGUUUUAAAUUUGUAUUUGAAAAAAGUAUGAGGAACUAAACUCCAUAGCUGGGGCUUAGGUUGAAGCCCUAAACAUGAAUACUCUAUUGUUUUGAUGCUUGAGUGUAUGAAUUUCUAGAUAUUGAUUCACUAAAAUAAUCUAUCCUUGAUGUAUGUUUUUCUUUGAUUGAUCACCUUUGAAAGCAUGCUUCUUGAGGUUAUUGGGAUUAUGUGUAUCCUCAUGUCUUCCUAAAAAACAAAUGGAUGAAGUAAGAAUCAUCCAUGUGAAUUGGUUUCUUGAAUGCCUAAUGUAAACAUCAUGCUAUUAGGGUUCUUGUGAUGUUCAUAUUCUCUUUGAACUUAAUGGGUUUUUUCUUGUAAUCAAUUCGAAGUACUAAGUACACCUAGAUUGAUUAUAGGGAAUGUGUAACACCCCGACUCCAAAUUUAAUCCCUUAUUUAAAUUAUUUAAGUGAAAUUACAAAUUUACCCUUGGGGUAGGGGUUUUGGUCAUUUUCUUACCCGGAAAGAUUUUGGGGUAGUAACUGGUAUUCUUCGGUAGGUCAUACUGAGAUGAGUCCGUAGACACGUGGUGGGCUCGAAUUGGAGUUGUAACGAGAGAGAUAUGGUCAAAAGAAACUCAGUGGCACAAUCGUAAUUAUUUUGAAAUGGGAUUUUUUAUAAAAAUCAGAUUUUUCCUUCUCUCUCUCUCUCUCUCUCUCUCUCUCUCUCUCUCUCUCUCUCUCUCUCUCUCUCUCCCUCCCGAUCGCGCCUCCUCUCUGUCAAAACAGCAGUGGCGGUUUUUCCGCCGCCACCGCUUCCUCCGGCCACCAUUCGAGGUGGUGUUGGUCCCAAAAUGACCGGCUGGUCUCCUGCUUCCAACCCCAGCCAAGCCCCGUUGCCAGCAGCCGCGAGUUUCGUAGGAAAUUGCAGAAAAUUCGGCGGUUUUUCUUAACUUUUCAAACCGCUCGUUCUCUCUCAUUUCUCCUCCAAAUUUGACGAGUAAGGUAUGAAUUUCUACCUAUUUUCCAUGCUCUAGCUGAUGGUUGGGUAGGAUUGCAUCAAUUUUGAGCCUAAGUCGUUCGAUUUUGGAUAUAGGGUUCGGCUGAUUUUGGGAUCUCGAUUCCGGCCACUUCCGGUCGGUUUUUGGGGCAGGUCCAAGAACAAAAAUGGCUCCAAAUAGGGUGUUAUACCUAGGGUAGGAGUUUGGAGCCGUGAUUUUGAGAUUUUCCGGCGAUGCGUAAUCGCUUUGGGCACCCAGCGCUGCCUGAGCAUGGGCGAGGGUGGUCGAGUUGCACUUUACUUCGAUGAGAUCCUUAGGUUGUCACGAGUGCGUAGGAUUUCGCGGAUCUCAAUUCGGACUUCGUUUGACUAUCGAACAGAUAUCGUCUAUUGCGUGUGAUCUGGGUUUGAUAGGUUGGGACAGUUGGAUGGUCUCAAAUUUAAUAUAUGUUAAUCUAGGUAUUUCUAGA